GAUGAACGCUGGCGGCGUGCUUAACACAUGCAAGUUGAGCGAAGCGCUUACGACAGAACCUUCGGGGGAAGAUGUAAGGGACUGAGCGGCGGACGGGUGAGUAACGCGUGGGUAACCUGCCUCAUACAGGGGGAUAACAGUUGGAAACGGCUGCUAAUACCGCAUAAGCGCACAGUAUCGCAUGAUACGGUGUGAAAAACUCCGGUGGUAUGAGAUGGACCCGCGUCUGAUUAGCUAGUUGGAGGGGUAACGGCCCACCAAGGCGACGAUCAGUAGCCGGGGGGGGAGGGGGAGCGGCGAGGGUGGGGGGGGGGCACGGCGGAGGCGGCGACGGGGGGGAGGAGUGGGGGAGGGGGCACAAUGGGGGAAACCCUGAUGCAGCGACGCCGCGUGAAGGAAGAAGUAUCUCGGUAUGUAAACUUCUAUCAGCAGGGAAGAAAAUGACGGUACCUGACUAAGAAGCCCCGGCUAACUACGUG
This 479-nucleotide ribosomal RNA is filed under the name uncultured bacterium. RNAcentral describes it as "partial 16S ribosomal RNA". It matches the Rfam family "Bacterial small subunit ribosomal RNA", at positions 28 to 507 of the family's 1533-position model. The record is from RNAcentral.